This 403-nucleotide ribosomal RNA is filed under the name Pantoea sp. RNAcentral describes it as "bacterial SSU rRNA". It matches the Rfam family "Bacterial small subunit ribosomal RNA", at positions 108 to 507 of the family's 1533-position model. Lineage: Bacteria; Pseudomonadati; Pseudomonadota; Gammaproteobacteria; Enterobacterales; Erwiniaceae. The record is from RNAcentral.
GAGUAAUGUCUGGGGAUCUGCCCGAUAGAGGGGGAUAACCACUGGAAACGGUGGCUAAUACCGCAUAACGUCGCAAGACCAAAGAGGGGGACCUUCGGGCCUCUCACUAUCGGAUGAACCCAGAUGGGAUUAGCUAGUAGGCGGGGUAAUGGCCCACCUAGGCGACGAUCCCUAGCUGGUCUGAGAGGAUGACCAGCCACACUGGAACUGAGACACGGUCCAGACUCAUACGGGAGGCAGCAGUGGGGAAUAUUGCACAAUGCGCGCAAGCCUGAUGCAGCCAUGCCGCGUGUAUGAAGAAGGCCUUCGGGUUGUAAAGUACUUUCAGCGGAGAGGAAGGCGACGGGGUUAAUAACCCUGUCGAUUGACGUUACCCGCAGAAGAAGCACCGGCUAACUCCGUG